Molecule: long non-coding RNA, 655 nt
Organism: Cydia fagiglandana
Lineage: Eukaryota; Metazoa; Arthropoda; Insecta; Lepidoptera; Tortricidae
Exons: 3
Source: RefSeq, a predicted model, not a curated record
UUGUGACUAACCUAAGCCCUCCUACGUGUACACGCUCGACGCAGCUAGCCAACUUUAUUGUCACGCGUGCAAUAGAGUACCUAUUAAAGGCCAAGUUCGGCCUGGCCAGCCAGGGUUCACGCUAGACAACGUCAACGAUUUAUUUGGGGUCGCCGUCAUCGAAAACGAUGAGGAGGAGGAGGACUAUACUUACUAACGAUGACACGGCACCGCCGCGUAAAACAAACCUAUGCCGAAAAUCAUAGUUUCAAGUAUUUUGAAUGCUGUAGCCAGAAGACUGCCAGACAAAUGUGGAUUAAUAAGGUUGUGGAGAUAAAAAAAAAUACAUCCACACUACAGCAUCCGAAAUCUCAAAAUCAUUUGCUUCUAUAUCGAAGAGCUCUCUGGAUUUUUUUGAUGACUUUCCGGUCACUUAUCUUGACAUAAAUGCUGAAGGAAUUAAUUAUGUCACUUUAAAAGGAGACGAAGAGCAGGACGGUAUUAUAAAACAAAGUUAAACAUCACGGCCCGAAGACCACCCAAAUGAUGAAAAUGUAUUAACUAGGUUCAGUUCUUUUCAAAUUUGUAUUAAGGGGAGAAAAUCCAAAAUUAAAAUUCAGAUAAAAACUUUAAUACUGAUUUAAACUUUCACGAUUAUUAAACAUUAUCAAACUGC